AUUGAACGCUGGCGGCAGGCCUAACACAUGCAAGUCGAGCGCAUGAAGGGGGCAUGCUCCUGGAUUCAACGGCGGGCGGAUGAGUAAUGCCUAGGAAUCUGCCUGGUCGUGGGGGAUAACGUCCGGAAAGGGGCGCUAAUACCGCAUCCGUCCUAAGCGAUAAAGUGGGGGUUCUUCGGACCUCACGCUAUCUGAUGAACCUAGGUGUGAUUAGCUAGUGGGUGGGGUAAAGGCCUACCAAGGCGACGGUCCGUAACUGGUCUGAGAGGAUGAUCAGUCACACUGGAACGGAGACACGCUCCAGACUCCUACGGGAGGCAGCAGUGGGGAAUAUUGGACAAUGGGGGAAAGCCUGACCAAGCCAUGCCGCGUGGGUGAAGAAGGUCUUCGGAUUUAAAAGUACGUUAAGUGGGGAGGAAGGGCAGUAAGGUAAUACCUUGCUGUUUUGACGUUACCAACAGAAUAAGCAACGGCUAACUACGUG
This 484-nucleotide ribosomal RNA is filed under the name uncultured bacterium. RNAcentral describes it as "partial 16S ribosomal RNA". It matches the Rfam family "Bacterial small subunit ribosomal RNA", at positions 30 to 507 of the family's 1533-position model. The record is from RNAcentral.